RNAcentral lists this long non-coding RNA (1040 nucleotides) under Salmo salar (Atlantic salmon). RNAcentral's name for it is "lncRNA (ENSSSAG00000120319.1)". The record is from RNAcentral. Lineage: Eukaryota; Metazoa; Chordata; Actinopteri; Salmoniformes; Salmonidae.
GUACUAAACCCAGCUGACAGAGAGAUAGAGAGAGAUGUGAUACUGUACUGAACCCAGCUGACAGAGAGAAAGAGAGAGAGAUGUGAUACUGUACUGAACCCAGCUGACAGAGAGAUAGAGAGAGAUGUGAUACUGUACUGAACCCAUCUGACAGAGAGAUAGAGAGAGAUGUGAUACUGUACUAAACCCAGCUGACAGAGAGAUAGAGAGAUAUGUGAUACUGUACUAAACCCAGCUGACAGAGAGAUAGAGAGAGAUGUGAUACUGUACUAAACCCAGCUGACAGAGAGAUAGAGAGAGAUGUGAUACUGUACUGAACCCAGCUGACAGAGAGCUAGAGAGAGAUGUGAUACUGUACUAAACCCAGCUGACAGAGAGAUAGAGAGAGAUGUGAUACUGUACUAAACCCAGCUGACAGAGAGAUAGAGAGAGAUGUGAUACUGUACUGAACCCAGCUGACAGAGAGAUAGAGAGAGAGAUGUGAUACUGUACUGAACCCAGCUGACAGAGAGAUAGAGAUGUGAUACUGUACUGAACCCAGCUGACAGAGAGAUAGAGAGAGAUGUGAUACUGUACUAAACCCAGCAGACAGAGAGAUAGAGAGAGAUGUGAUACUGUACUGAACCCAGCAGACAGAGAGAAAGAGAGAGAUGUGAUAGUGUACUGAAAACAGCUGACAGGAAGUGGUCAUAGCCACUGACUCGUCUUGCUGUACUGAACAACUGCAGAUAAGACAAGAUACUACACACACACAUACACACACACUCUUGUAGCACACAAAACACACAGAUUAUAGAGCACAUAGAGUACCACACGGUGCAGAACAAAGCACACCCAGACCUUACAGAGCUCUCAUAACAGAGAGAUAGACUGAAGAACAGCGUGACCUUACAAAGCUCUCAUAACAGAUAGAUAGACUGAAGAACAGCGUGACCUUACAGAGCUCUCAUAACAGAGAUAGACUGAAGAACAGCCUGAACUUACAGAGCUCUCAUAACAGAGAGAUAGACUGAAGAACAGCGUGACCUUACAGAGCUCUC